GCNCGUUACGAUUCGCCCUUGAGUUUGAUCAUGGCUCAGGAUGAACGCUGGCGGCAUGCCUAAUACAUGCAAGUCGAACGAAGAAAUGUUUGCUUGAAGGUGCUUGCACCGGAUAGUUGCUUUUCUUAGUGGCGAACGGGUGAGUAACACGUAGGUAACCUGCCUAGUAGUUGGGAAUAACAAUGGGAAACCGUUGCUAAUACCGAAUAUGAAUUCGAAGGGCAUCCUUUGAAUUUGAAAGGGGCUUUCAAGCCUCGCUAUUAGAUGGACCUGCGGCGCAUUAGCUAGUUGGUGAGAUAACAGCUCACCAAGGCGAGGAUGCGUAGCCGACCUGAGAGGGUGAUCGGCCACAAUGGGACUGAGACACGGCCCAUACUCCUACGGGAGGCAGCAGUAGGGAGUUUUCGGCAAUGGGGGGAACCCUGACCGAGCAAUGCCGCGUGAGCUAUGAAGGUCUUAUGGAUCGUAAGGCUCUGUUGUAGGGGAUGAAACGUCUAGGGAGGAAAUGUCCUAGACUUGACAGUAUCUUACCAGAAAGCCACGGCUAACUACGUGCCAGCAGCCGCGGUAAUACGUAGGUGGCAAGCGUUAUCCGGAGUUAUUGGGCGUAAAGCGUGAGCAGGCGGCCGUUUAAGUUUGAAGUCAAAUCCAGGGGCUUAACCCUUGUUCGCUUUAAAAACUGAAUGGCUAGAGUACGAGAGAGGUAUGCGGAAUUCCAAGUGUAGCGGUGAAAUGCGUAGAUAUUUGGAGGAACACCAGUGGCGAAGGCGGCAUACUAGAUCGAUACUGACGCUCAGUCACGAAAGCGUGGGGAGCAAAUAGGAUUAGAUACCCUAGUAGUCCACG
Molecule: ribosomal RNA, 846 nt
Filed under: uncultured bacterium
Lineage: Bacteria
Description: bacterial SSU rRNA
Rfam family: Bacterial small subunit ribosomal RNA
Source: RNAcentral